Molecule: RNase P RNA, 428 nt
Filed under: Candidatus Parcubacteria bacterium
Lineage: Bacteria; Candidatus Parcubacteria
Description: RNase P RNA component class A
Rfam family: Bacterial RNase P class A
About the family: Ribonuclease P (RNase P) is a ubiquitous endoribonuclease, found in archaea, bacteria and eukarya as well as chloroplasts and mitochondria. Its best characterised activity is the generation of mature 5'-ends of tRNAs by cleaving the 5'-leader elements of precursor-tRNAs.
Source: RNAcentral
CAAGCGGGCAAGGCAAUCACUCUUUCUUUUUCUUUCUCAACGAGAAGAAGGGAAAGAGAGGAAAGUCCGAACGCCCUCCUUUAAUUUUGAAAGUAUCUAUUUCUGCUUUUCAAAAUUAAAGGAUAAAAAAAUAGCGGAUAACAUCCGCCGCCAGCAAUGGCCGAGGUGCGAACAGAGACGCCAAACCCGAAAGGGUAAGGUACCCUAAAAAUAAUAAAGGGUAAGUCCCGUUGAAAAACGGGGGUGAAACGGCUAAAUCCUUAUUGGGCGCAAGAAGAAACUUUUUGGGCAAUCUCCGGAUUUGCCUAAAAAGAAAAGUGCUUCGCUAGAUCCUUUAAGCAAUUAAGGGACCAGAUAAAUGAUUGCCCCUCUUUUUGUUCUUAAAUGGCAAAAGAGGACAGAAUUCGGCUUAUCAGCCCACUUGGGUU